GUCCUGCAAGAAGGCUUAUAAUGUGAUAAGAAAACCAAGAAAGAAACCAAAUUAAGAGCAAGCUGAUCAGCAAACACUCUGUCACUGCAAUCUCUUUUAAAGCUUCAGGCAAACAUGUGAGUUUAGUCUAUUUUCACUCAUUCUGACAGAUAGAAAACAAGAUAAACAGUAACACUGUUGACAGAUUUGUUAAUUUUCAUACCAAUAUCCAGAAAAUACCCAAAAGUACAGCCACUGAAUCAGAUUUAUUUCUGUGACUGAACAAUAUCUUAAAGUAAACAUGCGCCAUCGUAAAGUAAACAUGCGCCAUCCCAAUUAUAUGGUAUUAGAAAAACACGAUGGAGGAUUGUCACCCCUAAAAAUCCAGCUGGGCUCAGCGUUGACUCUUCUGACAUGAUCCCCAAUCUUCAGACAACAAACUUUGACAUGUAGUCAGGCAACAAAUUUUUUAGAAGAAACUUAGUAUAUUAAAGGAGGAUAAAAAUUGCCAUUGGGUUACAAUUGGUGCCCUCAAGUCUCAAAAAUGUUAGGGGGCACUAAUUCGAGCACCCAUAGGGCCCAUUUAUCCCCUUGUAAAAAAUGUGGAAGAGGGGUAGAUAUAUCCGGCAAUAAUUAAAAAAAUGAAGAGUAAAAAUUACAAGGGUGUAUCAAGUGUCCACAGAUAUAAUCAAAAAGAGAGAAAAGGGCGAAGGGAAAUAAUCUACAAAGCCCAUCCAAUAACCCCAAAGAUUAUUACAUCCUUCCCUUAUCCAAAAUCAAUCUACACAAAGGGAAAUAAUCUACAAAGCCCAUCCAAUAACCCCAAAGAUUAUUACAUCCUUCCCUUAUCCAAAAUCAAUCUACACAAAAUUAACCCAAGACCACUGUACUCAGGCAACAAUUUGCCCACCUUGAUUUUUCAGGCAUAAAUAAAUGAAAAGCCAACUUGAAGAAGAUACAAAACAAAUUACCU
Molecule: long non-coding RNA, 952 nt
Filed under: Citrus x clementina
Lineage: Eukaryota; Viridiplantae; Streptophyta; Magnoliopsida; Sapindales; Rutaceae
Description: Citrus clementina (C. clementina) long non-coding RNA (CCLE_LNC005713)
Source: RNAcentral